GCAUUUUUAACUUUUAAGGGAGGGUGGAGACGGGGAUCUUUGAAUGAGAAGUUAACAGAUAUGUCUUUAAAAUCAGCAGUGACUGGAACCUUAUGAAUAAGUUAUUAGAUGCUCUAUACUUCUUUCCCCGAAGUUGUCAGGUGUCUUAAGAGGUAAAUUAAUGUUGGUUCAGGAAGUAUAAAGUGAGUCAUAGGAAGAGAAUCUGGUUCAAUGAUCUUGAAAUGUAUUAAAUGUCAAAGAUGAUAAUUUAAGCUCUUUUUUCUAGUUUUUUAGGGGGGUGAUCCAUUAUCUAAAUACUUUCAAGAGGCCGAGCUGACUAUUGAUGUAGAAUGAUUCAGACAACAUGAAUUUGCUCCCAGAACUUAUAGCUAUAUCGACAUAUGGAGAGCAAACCAGAAUGUGACCACUGCAGCCCUGUCCUCGUUUUCCUGCCUUCCUGUUCCUCGGAGGGAUGACGGUUUUUGACUCAUUUGCUGAAAGCCUGAUAGACAUCUUGAAUAAUUUACCAACUUCGAGUCUAGAUUUCAAACUUAAGGUGGAACCAGGAAGUAACCAGGAAAGAAUCUUCUAACUUUGCAAGGGGCGAAUCAAACCAACAAGUCAAAAGGCGAAGUCAAAAUGUUGCAAAGCAGAACCACAUGCUGAGCUUGGAGUUCCAGAGAAAUGUUGAAAGCUUAUCCCCCCAUGUGAUG
RNAcentral lists this long non-coding RNA (692 nucleotides) under Equus asinus (donkey). Its description in RNAcentral is "lncRNA (ENSEASG00005023691.1)". Lineage: Eukaryota; Metazoa; Chordata; Mammalia; Perissodactyla; Equidae. The record is from RNAcentral.